This 1081-nucleotide ribosomal RNA is filed under the name Salmonella enterica. Its description in RNAcentral is "bacterial SSU rRNA". It matches the Rfam family "Bacterial small subunit ribosomal RNA", at positions 1 to 1071 of the family's 1533-position model. The record is from RNAcentral. Lineage: Bacteria; Pseudomonadati; Pseudomonadota; Gammaproteobacteria; Enterobacterales; Enterobacteriaceae. RNAcentral also lists the same sequence under 1 other name.
AAAUUGAAGAGUUUGAUCAUGGCUCAGAUUGAACGCUGGCGGCAGGCCUAACACAUGCAAGUCGAACGGUAACAGGAAGCAGCUUGCUGCUUCGCUGACGAGUGGCGGACGGGUGAGUAAUGUCUGGGAAACUGCCUGAUGGAGGGGGAUAACUACUGGAAACGGUGGCUAAUACCGCAUAACGUCGCAAGACCAAAGAGGGGGACCUUCGGGCCUCUUGCCAUCAGAUGUGCCCAGAUGGGAUUAGCUUGUUGGUGAGGUAACGGCUCACCAAGGCGACGAUCCCUAGCUGGUCUGAGAGGAUGACCAGCCACACUGGAACUGAGACACGGUCCAGACUCCUACGGGAGGCAGCAGUGGGGAAUAUUGCACAAUGGGCGCAAGCCUGAUGCAGCCAUGCCGCGUGUAUGAAGAAGGCCUUCGGGUUGUAAAGUACUUUCAGCGGGGAGGAAGGUGUUGUGGUUAAUAACCGCAGCAAUUGACGUUACCCGCAGAAGAAGCACCGGCUAACUCCGUGCCAGCAGCCGCGGUAAUACGGAGGGUGCAAGCGUUAAUCGGAAUUACUGGGCGUAAAGCGCACGCAGGCGGUCUGUCAAGUCGGAUGUGAAAUCCCCGGGCUCAACCUGGGAACUGCAUUCGAAACUGGCAGGCUUGAGUCUUGUAGAGGGGGGUAGAAUUCCAGGUGUAGCGGUGAAAUGCGUAGAGAUCUGGAGGAAUACCGGUGGCGAAGGCGGCCCCCUGGACAAAGACUGACGCUCAGGUGCGAAAGCGUGGGGAGCAAACAGGAUUAGAUACCCUGGUAGUCCACGCCGUAAACGAUGUCUACUUGGAGGUUGUGCCCUUGAGGCGUGGCUUCCGGAGCUAACGCGUUAAGUAGACCGCCUGGGGAGUACGGCCGCAAGGUUAAAACUCAAAUGAAUUGACGGGGGCCCGCACAAGCGGUGGAGCAUGUGGUUUAAUUCGAUGCAACGCGAAGAACCUUACCUGGUCUUGACAUCCACAGAACUUUCCAGAGAUGGAUUGGUGCCUUCGGGAACUGUGAGACAGGUGCUGCAUGGCUGUCGUCAGCUCGUGUUGUGAA